CAGCCGCCACGGUAAUACGUAGGUGGCAAGCGUUGUCCGGAAUUAUUGGGAGUAAAGGGCUCGCAGGCGGUUUCUUAAGUCUGAUGUGAAAGCCCCCGGCUCAACCGGGGAGGGUCAUUGGAAACUGGGAAACUUGAGUGCAGAAGAGGAGAGUGGAAUUCCACGUGUAGCGGUGAAAUGCGUAGAGAUGUGGAGGAACACCAGUGGCGAAGGCGACUCUCUGGUCUGUAACUGACGCUGAGGAGCGAAAGCGUGGGGAGCGAACAGGAUUAGAUACCCGCGUAGUCCCUGUCUCUUAUAC
This 301-nucleotide ribosomal RNA is filed under the name uncultured bacterium. RNAcentral's name for it is "partial 16S ribosomal RNA". It matches the Rfam family "Bacterial small subunit ribosomal RNA", at positions 509 to 807 of the family's 1533-position model. The record is from RNAcentral.